CCGCGGCCGGAGCUGUCCCCCGGCCAGACCCGGCGAGACGCGAGCGGCGGGAGGGAGCGAGGGAGGGAGGGAGGCGGCGGCGCGCCGGCCCCGCCCGCCCGCCCGCCCGAGCGUGCGACGCAGCCCGGCGCCGAGCCAUGGAGCCUGAGCCGGUGGAGGACUGUGUACAGAGCACACUCGCUGCCUUAUACCCACCCUUCGAAGCCACAGCUCCCACCCUGUUGGGCCAGGUAUUCCAAGUGGUGGAGAGGACUUACCGGGAAGAUGCACUGAGAUACACACUGGACUUCCUGGUACCAGCCAAGCACCUUCUUGCCAAGGUCCAGCAGGAAGCCUGUGCCCAGUACAGCGGAUUCCUCUUCUUCCAUGAGGGCUGGCCCCUCUGCCUGCAUGAGCAGGUUGUGGUACAGCUAGCAGCCCUUCCCUGGCAGCUGCUGCGUCCUGGAGACUUCUACCUGCAGGUGGUACCCUCAGCAGCCCAAGCACCCCACCUGGCACUCAAGUGUCUAGCCCCAGGAGGUGGGCGGGUACAGGAGCUGCCCGUGCCCAGCGAGGCAUGUGCCUACCUGUUCACACCUGAGUGGCUGCAAGGCAUCAACAAGGACCGACCUACAGGUCGCCUCAGCACCUGCCUCCUAUCUGCACCCUCUGGGAUUCAGCGGCUGCCCUGGGCUGAACUCAUCUGCCCACGAUUUGUGCACAAAGGAGGCCUCAUGGUUGGACAUCGGCCAGGCACACUGCCUCCUGAACUGCCAUCAGUACCCCCAGGGCUUCCCAGCCCUCCCCUCUCUGAGGAGGUGCUGGGCACUCGGAGUCCUGGGGAUGGGCACAAUGCUCCAGCUGAAGGACCAGAGGGUGAGUACGUGGAGCUUUUGGAAGUGACGCUGCCUGUCAGGGGAAGUCCCACAGAUGCUGAGGGCUCUUCAGACCUUGCCAGGACUCGGACGGUACCUACCCGCAAGAGUGCUGGAGGGAAAGGCCGGCACCGGAGACACCGGGCAUGGAUGCACCAGAAGGGCCUGGGGGUUCGGGCACAGCACCAGGAUGGAUCACGGCCACCCGGUGAGGGGAGCAGCACUGGAGCCUCCCCUGGGUCUCCCCUAGGAGCUGAAGCUGUCCCAGAGGCAGUAGACGCGGAGGUAUCUGAACCCCCAACAGAGGCUUCGGGGGAAGCUUCUGAAUCCUGCCUCCUGCGGUCAGGGGAUCCUGGAGCAGGCCAGGGGGCUGAAGGACCACCGGGUACCCCUCGGAGAACAGGCAAAGGAAACCGGAGAAAGAAGCGGGCUGCAGGCAGAGGGGCUCUUAGCAGAGGCGGGGACAGUGCCCCACUCAGCCUUGGGGACAAGGAAGAGACUGGCCACCAUGGAGCCCUUGUCAGUCUGCCCUCACCAAAUGAAAACAAGCUUCCAGCAUGCAGCCUGGUUAAGGAUGGGAACAAAGGCUCUGAAAACUCAGAAUCAGAGGCCAAAGAGGAGCUCACAUCCCCAGAUGAAAAAGAGACUCUGCCCCCAGAAAACUAUGGUUCUCCAGAAGAGGGGACCAGAGAAAGACAGCAAAAAGGAUCGAGCCUGGUGUGUGUGGCAGCAUCUGCAGGCUCAGAGGGGCUGCUGUCGGACCCCCCCACACAACCCCUGGAGCCACUGCAGGAAGUGAAAGUAGAGAGCAUCCCAGAAGAGCCCCCUCCAGUCUCCAUCUCUGCUGACUCUGACAUAGCCUGGGAGUUGAUGGCCUCUGGAUUCCUUGUCCUGACUGGAGGGUUGGACCAGAGUGGGCGAGCUCUGCUGACCAUUACCCCACCGUGUCCUCCUGAGGAGCCCCCACCCUCCCAAGACAUGCUGAGCACUGUUCUUCAUUACCUCCACUCACUUCUCAGGCCUGACCUCCAGUUGUUAGGACUGUCUGUCCUGCUGGAUCUUCGUAAAGCACCCCCACUGCCGCCAGCUCUCGUUCCUGCUCUGAGUCAACUUCAGGAUUCAGGAGAUCCUCAUCUUAUUCAACGGUUGCUGAUUCUCACUAAUGAUGACCCUCCCACUGAACUCUGUGGAUUUCAGGGUGCUGAGUGGGUGUCAGAGAAUGAUCUGAAAAGAGUGGCCAAGCCAGAGGAGCUGCAGUGGGACCUAGGAGGUCACAGGGACCCAUCUCCCAGCUACUGGGUAGAGAUACAUAAGGAAGUGGCAAGGCUCUGCAGCCUAUGCCAGGGUGUGCUGAGCUCUGUGCGGCAGGCCAUUGAAGAGCUGGAAAGAGCAGCAGAGUCAGAAGGAGAGGAGGCCGUGGGAAUGCCGGAGCCUCUGCAGAAGGUGCUGGCUGAUCACCGGCUGACGGCACUGCAGAGGGAUGGGGGAGCCAUCCUGAUGAGGCUACGCUCCACCCACAGCAGCAAGUUGGAGGGCCCGGGCCCUGCUACCCUCUAUCAAGAGGUGGACGAGGCCAUUCACCAGCUCGUGCGCCUCUCCAACCUGCAAGUACAGCGGCAGGAGCACCGACAGCGCCUGCGCCACCUCCAGCAGGUGCUGCAGUGGCUCUCGGGCCCAGGAGAGGAGCAGCUGGCCAGUUUUGCUAUGCCCGGUGACUCCCUCCCUGCUCUGCAGGAGACAGAGCUGCGAUUUCGGGCUUUCCACACGGAGGUUCAGGAGCACCUGGCCCAGGCGCGGGAGGCUCUGGCUCUGCAGGAGGACCCUGCCUCCCAGAAGGUUUUGGAUAUCUUCGAGCAGCGGCUGGAGCAGGUGGAGAGUGGCCUCCAUCGGGCCCUGCGGCUUCAGCGCUUCUUCCAGCAGGCACAUGAGUGGGUGGAUGAGGGCUCUGCCCGGCUGGCAGGAGCUGGGCCUGGUCGUGAGGCCCUGCUGGCAGCGCUUGCCCUGCGGCGGGCCCCGGAGCCCAGUGCUGGCACCUUCCAGGAGAUGCGGGCCCUGGCCCUGGACCUGGGCAGCCCGGCAGCCCUGCGAGAGUGGGGCCGCUGCCACGCCCGCUGCCAAGAGCUGGAGAGGAGGAUUCAGCAACAGCUGGGAGAGGAAGCCAGUCCGAGAGGCCACCGGCGGCAGCGGGCAGACAGUGCCAGCAGCGCAGGGACCCAGCGGGGCUCCCAUAGCCCCUCGCCCAGCCUCAGUUCCCUACUCCUUCCUGGCAGCCCUGGCCUACGGGCUGCUCCAUCCCAUUGCUCCCUGGCCCCAUGUGGGGAGGACUGUGAGGAGGAGGCACCCGAGCUGGCUCCAGAAACAGAGGGCAAACCCCCAAGGUCUGUGCUGAUCCGGGGUCUGGAGGUCACCAGCACUGAGGUGGUAGACAGGACGUGCUCGCCGAGGGAACACGUGCUGCUGGGCCGGGCUGGGGGGCCAGACGGACCCUGGGGAUUAGGCACCCCCCGGAUGGAGCGCAAGCGGAGUAUCAGUACCCAGCAGCGUCUGGUGUCUGAACUGAUUGCCUGUGAACAGGAGUAUGUGACCAGCCUGAGCGAGCCUGUACCACCCCCCGGGCCUGAACUGACCCCUGAACUUCGGGGCACCUGGGCUGCUGUCCUGAGCACCCGGGAAAGACUUCGCAGCUUCCACCGGACACAUUUUCUUCGGGAGCUACAGGGCUGUGCUACAUACCCUCUGCGCAUCGGGGCCUGCUUCCUUCGCCAUGGGGACCAGUUCGGCCUUUACGCCCAGUAUGUGAAGCACCGCCACAAACUGGAGAACUGUCUGGCUGCACUCAACCCCCCAUCCAAGGGCUCCACAGAGGGUGGCCCUUACCUGCCCCUGGCCCUGCAGCAGCCCCUGGAACAACUGACUCGGUAUGGGCGGCUCCUGGAGGACCUUCUGAGGGAAGCUGGGCCUGAGCCGAGUUCUGAGCGCCAGGCCCUCGGAGCUGCUGUGCAGCUGCUCCAGGAACAAGAGGCCCGCGGCAGAGACCUGCUGGCUGUGGAGGCCGUGCGAGGCUGCGAGAUAGAUCUGAAGGAGCAGGGACAGCUCUUGCAUCGGGACCCCUUCACUGUCAUCUGUGGCCGGAAGAAGUGCCUUCGCCAUGUCUUUCUCUUUGAGCACCUCCUCCUUUUCAGCAAGCUCAAGGGCUCUGAGGGGGGCUCUGAGACCUUUGUUUACAAACAGGCAUUUAAGACUGCUGACAUGGGGCUGACAGAAAACAUCGGAGACAGCGGGCUCUGCUUUGAACUGUGGUUCCGCCGGCGGCGUGCACGAGAGGCCUACACCUUGCAGGCAACCUCACCAGAGAUCAAACUCAAGUGGACAAGCUCCAUUGCCCAGCUGCUGUGGAGACAGGCAGCCCACAACAAGGAGCUUCGAGUGCAGCAGAUGGUGUCCAUGGGCAUUGGGAAUAAACCCUUCCUGGACAUCAAAGCCCUGGGGGAACGGACACUGAGUGCCCUGCUUACUGGGAGAGCUGCCCGCACCCGGGCCUCCGUGGCCGUGUCAUCCUUUGAGCAUGCCGGCCCGUCCCUUCCCGGCCUCUCACCGGGAGCCUGCUCCCUGCCUGCCCGCGUCGAGGAGGAGGCCUGGGAUCUGGACGUCAAGCAAAUUUCCCUGGCACUCCUUGAGUUUCUAUGGAAACUGCCUCAGCAUCCUGUUGUACCCUCCUGGUUCACCACGGCAAUCCUUAGUUUCCUGUCGCUUCUUCCCUGGUUGCUCUAAUGGUGCUGCUGACAAUUUCCUGCCUCUUGGUAGGGGGGUUCUCUUGCAACUGGAUUGCUAUGGUGACUCACAGCUUCCUGUUGCUAUGGAGCUUUUUCUUCCCUGAUGGAGCUGCUUGGUUGCUUAAGAGUCACGCCCGAGCCCUGAGUGACCCCACCACACCGCUGUGACCCAGAGCAGAUGCGGCACAUUCUAGGCUGGAGUGGCAGUGGCAUGUAGGACUAGCAGAGCACGGAAGAGCAGAGCACUGAACUCCUCUGCAUUCUGGACAGGACAGAGGGUCGAGGACCACGGCAUGCCCUGCUACUGCUGUCUCUAGCUCUCCUCUGCUUGGUGCCUUCUGCAUCAGGACCCAGCACGGCCACACCUCCUUGCCUUGGUACCCGAGGUGGGAAUUUCCCCUCUUCUAGUCCUUCCCCAUCCUGGGCUACUGCACACCCCAGGACACCACUGCGCCAUCCGCCUGUUUGCUCUUCUCAUCCCAACUCUCAGAGAAGACACAUUUCUGCCAGGCCAAGGAAGCUCCUUGGUGACUCCCAUCUUGUGGUGUCACAUAAAGUGAAGCUAUACAAACUAUAAUACCAGAGGGGAGCAGGAACUGCAGACUUUAUAUAUGUAAUUACUGUUAUUAUAUUACUAUUAUUAUAUUAAAUAUACUCACACUUUGCCUGCCAGGA
Molecule: RNA transcript, 5302 nt
Organism: Cavia porcellus (domestic guinea pig)
Lineage: Eukaryota; Metazoa; Chordata; Mammalia; Rodentia; Caviidae
Gene: Arhgef40
Gene name: Rho guanine nucleotide exchange factor 40
Exons: 24
Source: RefSeq, a predicted model, not a curated record